RNAcentral lists this long non-coding RNA (1785 nucleotides) under Carica papaya (papaya). RNAcentral describes it as "long non-coding RNA (CPAP_LNC016008)". The record is from RNAcentral. Lineage: Eukaryota; Viridiplantae; Streptophyta; Magnoliopsida; Brassicales; Caricaceae.
UCCUUUAGUGUUUUCCAUCACUCUAUUUUCCAACUCAGCAUAUACCAUUUUAUUGAAUGUCAAACACAUAUUUAAACUGUAAUAGUUUGAACUCUCAUGUAGAGUCCUGAUCAUACGCAUACCAUAUCAUGAUAAAAUAAUCUAUAAGAAUACUUCAUGCAACAAAUUUUAAACUAUUAAAAAGUACAUCCCUUGCAUACGUAGCUCAAAAUAUCCAAUAUCCAUGAGGCGGAAGGAGUCUUGCACAACCCUUCUUCCUCGGUGUGCAAAUCUCCUAUUCUUUCUUUUCGGCCGGUGGCAGAGGCAUACACACCUCUACCUCUUCACCUUUCUCAACCAUAGGUAAACACGCCUCUAUUUUUUUUUUCCUAAAAUAGUACCGUUUUGGGGUCUUCUAAAACGACGUCGGUUUAGUUUGUUACAUAGACGAUCGUUGUCCGGCCACUCACACAACCCAUCACAAUAUUUAGUUUUGUGUAUGGUUUGUCCAGGUCAGUAAAUAAGCAGUAGUAUAUUUAAUAUCUCGGUGUCACACCCAUUCUGGCCACAUAAUUGCCAUCCACUUACGCAACACAUUUAAUAACCUACAGCAGGUUAAUGCAUUACACAGUAAAAAAAAUCAGCAGAUAAUAUGACAAGGAAAUGAUGUGAAAUCUAACCCAUAUUUGGCCACUCACACACAUAUAACUAUUAACACAACAUACAGCUCACAAAUGCAACACACAAUUGUUAAUACAGCAUAUGAGGUAUACUAUUUUCACACAUUUACCAACUGGCCACACACCCACACAAAGUUGAUCCACACACCAGAAAUAGUAACCCAUGUUUCCUUAAGAAGGCUUUCAGUUUAACACCAUAGUCCCCUAGAAGGCCGGUUAAUUUCUCUCCCUUUUUUUGCCUCAUAACCCUUUCCAUUUAUUCCCAUAUCUCUCCAUCCAUUCUCUCCCUCAAACAACUAUCACUUAUUCAAAAUUUCAUUUCUAAACCAUUACAAAUAAAACCUACAUUCUGUUGUUUCCUCCCCUUGACUCUCCCUAAAAACAGGCCCUGACUUCCCAUCUAUUUUCCUUCUCCAAUGUUCAUUCAUACUUUUCCAUUUUUUUAAUUUUUAAAUUAAUUUACAUUCAUUUAUCCCUCUCCUUUUAUCAUAUCUGAUUUAUUCUUCUGGGUUACUUUUGGCCAUUCAUCCUAGUUUCUAGUUUUUAGGACCCUAAUUGAUUUUCUACAAAAUGUUAGCCUUUUAUCAUGAAAACCCUUUCAGUAAACUAUAUUGUGUUAGAGUCGAUGGGUGAAGUGUGUUGUUCUGUGACUAUAAACGUAAACCAUACUGUAUUAUUGAAUAUCGUAUUGAUAUUACUGUAGUACAUUGUGAAAACAAUGGGUGUGCAUUGUCACUGUACAUAGAGAAAAUAAAACUAUAGUCGUAAUUGUCACCAUUUAACAAUACUAUCAGCUAUGCCACUACAAAUAAAAGAUUGAAGAAGUAUGAGAGUAAAGAAAAAAGAGAGGUAUUUGAUUAUCAGUCUUGGAGGGUAGGGUAUUAAAUUAUUUUUAUUGAGCAUGUAUAGUUCAUUCAUUCCCAUUUUUCAGAGCACAAAAACCAAGAAAAAAACUCAAGAUUAGUCGAAAUAAUGAGAUCUAUAGGGUGAGGAUGAUAUAUGUUAACAUCAGUUAGUGUCGACAUAAUUUUUCAAACUCUAAACCAUUAUCUACCUUUCUAAAAGUGUUAACAUCUCUUGUUACGGGCUAACUAUUUUAAAUUUCACCAAUGUUGUAAGGGAAGAA